Molecule: long non-coding RNA, 739 nt
Filed under: Rosa chinensis
Lineage: Eukaryota; Viridiplantae; Streptophyta; Magnoliopsida; Rosales; Rosaceae
Description: sRNA RchiOBHm_Chr3g0497151
Source: RNAcentral
UCAAGACUGACCCCGGAGAACCCAGAAGCUUCAAAACUCAACACCGUUUCUUCGACCCGAAAUCCGGCGAAAACGACCCGGCGGUAUCUCCACCUUCCGGUCGAUUGGCGGAAUCGAACAAGCAGUAUUCUCUUCACCUCGACGGCGCGAAGCUGAACAUGGGCUCGGAUUGCUCAACCAAACCUUCAUGAUAGCAAAACUAAGCGAGAAAUCUACGGCAGUUUAGAUGCAUUUUCCGGGGACUCUAGUCACCGACGAUAGCAACUGAAAAUUGGUUGAGUUGGUGAGAUGAAGUGAGCUAUCUCUGUAAAUGGAAAACAACAGAAUAGCUAUGGUUGACGUGCUUCAGAAUAUCAAGUUCGUUGUUUCCAGAUUUUGAAAGCAUGGACUUGGCGGAAUGGAAGUACGGAACUACAAUGAAGUCUGGGAGUUCAUAAUUAUUAGCAUGUAUCAUUGAAGGUAAAUUCCUUAGGGCUUAGAAAAGACGCCCGACCAUAAUUGAUGAAGAUUUGUUGAUUUCUGCUUGGACCAAGAACCCAGCUGAAUAAAGAGACAAAAUUGGUCAAAGUUUUAAGUAAGGUAAGCUGAGAUUUCUUUCUAGGGUAUGGAGUCAUGAUACUGUAAAUAUGAAGUUUGUGAUGUUUGAAUUAAGUUGCAAAGCUUUAGCUGUAAUCAUGGUUCGAUGUUAUCUGGAAGUUCAGGAAUGAAUUUGUCAAAAUUGUUAAUUUAUUUGGCAUAG